Long non-coding RNA from Monodelphis domestica (gray short-tailed opossum), 890 nucleotides. RefSeq lists it as uncharacterized. The record is from RefSeq and is a predicted model, not a curated record. Lineage: Eukaryota; Metazoa; Chordata; Mammalia; Didelphimorphia; Didelphidae.
AGAGAAGGAAACUGAAAUGGUAAAGAGACAGGGGCAACCUCUACACCUCUAUGGUGGCUAGGAUAGUUGGGAGGGGGAAGGCGUGUUAAAGGAAUGGGAAGAGAUGACUGGCCCUGAGCGGGAGGUUGGUGGAGGAAGGGGGUGUUAAGGGAGGCUUAGUCUUAGUAGCCUGGGAAGGAGGUAGAGAAUGGAGUAUGGGGGCUUCAUCAGAAGAGUUGGCGUUUCUCUAGCUGAUUUAACCAAAUAAACAGUCACCAAUCUGCAAGAUGAUCAUGCAAAAUGGAAAUUGGAGUUGGGGGAAAAGUCGUGAUAUCCUCGCCUGGAGUGGCAUGGAUUGGGGGCGGGGACUAUCUGUAGCUUGGAAUCCCCUUCGUCUGCGCCCUGAGUAAGCCCCUAUUCCCCUCCUCCUGCCCAGCCUUCAUGUCCAUUUCUUUGACCUAAGGAGAGAGAGAAAUGUUGGGUUUCUGUGUUAUGGGGUUCCGGUUCUUUCUCCCUCUCCUCAGCACUUCCCCCCUUCCCCACGCCUCUGAUCCUUUCUGCAGCCAUCACCACUGCCACCAACUCGGUUCCACUCAAUCGAUUUUUGCUGCAUGUCAACACUUAUUACCGAUAAGAGAAGAGUGAUCAGAGGAGUGAUAGAUGAACAAUCUGAAUGCUUUCUAGGUUAUCUACAAAAUAUGAAAAUAACCAGGGGAAGGUCUCUGGUGCUUUGGGAAGAUCUCCUACAGAUUUAUGGAAAAAUAUGGACAGAAAUCUCAGAAGAUAAGAAGGCAUGUGGAUGCACUGUAUCCACAAUAAUGCGCACUAUAAUCCAUAAAGUAUGGAAUAUCACUAUUGUCUCCUUGUUGUCAAUAUCUUAAUUGAAAAUAAAGUUUUUCUUUUGUUCAGAA